Molecule: transfer RNA, 73 nt
Filed under: Candidatus Pacearchaeota archaeon ex4484_26
Lineage: Archaea; Nanobdellati
Description: tRNA-Lys
Rfam family: tRNA
About the family: Transfer RNA (tRNA) molecules are approximately 80 nucleotides in length. Their secondary structure includes four short double-helical elements and three loops (D, anti-codon, and T loops). Further hydrogen bonds mediate the characteristic L-shaped molecular structure. tRNAs have two regions of fundamental functional importance: the anti-codon, which is responsible for specific mRNA codon recognition, and the 3' end, to which the tRNAs corresponding amino acid is attached (by aminoacyl-tRNA synthetases). tRNAs cope with the degeneracy of the genetic code in two manners: having more than one tRNA (with a specific anti-codon) for a particular amino acid; and 'wobble' base-pairing, i.e. permitting non-standard base-pairing at the 3rd anti-codon position.
Source: RNAcentral
CGUGGCUCAGCCUGGUUAGAGCGCCACUGAACUUUUGAUGUGGAGGUCCUGGGUUCAAAUCCCAGCGGGACCA